GAUGAACGCUAGCGGGAGGCUUAAUACAUGCAAGUCGAGGGGUAACAGGUACUUCGGUAUGCUGACGACCGGCGCACGGGUGAGUAACGCGUACACAACCUACCUCACUGAGGGGAAUAGCCUUUGGAAACGAAGAGUAAUACCCCGUAGUAUUCUAAGAUGGCAUCGUUUUGGGAUUAAAGUUCCGGCGCGGUGAGAUGGGUGUGCGUACUAUUAGCUAGUUGGCGGGGUAAUGGCCCACCAAGGCGACGAUAGUUAGGGGGCGUGAGAGCGUGACCCCCCACACGGGUACUGAGACACGGACCCGACUCCUACGGGAGGCAGCAGUAAGGAAUAUUGGACAAUGGAGGCAACUCUGAUCCAGCCAUCCCGCGUGCAGGAUGACAGCCCUAUGGGUCGUAAACUGCUUUUAUAGGAGAAGAAUCCCCCCGAUGCGUUGGGGGUUGACGGUAUCCUACGAAUAAGCACCGGCUAACUCCG
This 480-nucleotide ribosomal RNA is filed under the name uncultured Saprospiraceae bacterium. Its description in RNAcentral is "bacterial SSU rRNA". It matches the Rfam family "Bacterial small subunit ribosomal RNA", at positions 28 to 505 of the family's 1533-position model. Lineage: Bacteria; Pseudomonadati; Bacteroidota; Saprospiria; Saprospirales; Saprospiraceae. The record is from RNAcentral.